GCUCUCAUAGUCUAGUGGCCUAGGACAGCGCCCUCUCACGGCGCAGACACGGGUUCGAAUCCCGUUGAGAGCA
This is a non-coding RNA of Candidatus Roizmanbacteria bacterium, 73 nucleotides long. The record is from Rfam. Lineage: Bacteria; Candidatus Roizmaniibacteriota.